UUGUUUUUUUGUAUGAAACAACAGUACGUAUAUCCUGUACUGACAGAAACCUAGCUUAUUUUGAAUGAAGAAGAAGAAGAAGAUGCAUCGUUAUGACUUACGACAAGAAGAUUGGUUGUGUUUCCAGAUAUGUACUUUACCUGGAAGCGGUGCAGCAUAUAUGUACUCGAAUUGUAAGCAGCGGAUAUAUACUCGAAUUUGUAAGCAGUGCGACAGAUAUGUACUCAGAUUUGUAAGCAGUGCGGCAUAUAUGUACUCAAAUUUGUUAGCAGAUAUGUACUCGAAUUUGUGAGCAGUGUACCAGAUAUGUACUCAAAUUUGUAAGCAGUGUAGACACACACGUUUG
Papaver somniferum (opium poppy) is the source of this 346-nucleotide long non-coding RNA. RefSeq lists it as uncharacterized. NCBI's taxonomy places the organism in Eukaryota, Viridiplantae, Streptophyta, Magnoliopsida, Ranunculales, Papaveraceae. The transcript is spliced from 2 exons. The record is from RefSeq and is a predicted model, not a curated record.